UGAGUGAACUGUCGGAACAAUAUUUGAGGACAGACAUUACAUCAUCUUGAAUAAGACGGCAAUCACUUAUACGUAUAUGGUGUCACUAACACCACAUUGCUUUACUCCGAGACCGGGAUAUGUGAUGUUACACUUUUCCAUGGACUAAAUGUCACGAACGGACCACAUGUUGAACUGUGGCAGCACAGCGAUGUGAACGGGGGCGCUGCAGUUGAGUGCUGCAAAAAGAAAUUCAAUUAUGAAAUUGAAAAGAUAGGAAAAAAUUGCAGUGUUAGAGAGAUCAACACGGAUUGCGGAACGUA
Long non-coding RNA from Ornithodoros turicata, 302 nucleotides. RefSeq lists it as uncharacterized. The transcript has 3 exons. NCBI's taxonomy places the organism in Eukaryota, Metazoa, Arthropoda, Arachnida, Ixodida, Argasidae. The record is from RefSeq and is a predicted model, not a curated record.